CUUGGCUUUGUUUUGCCGAAAAUUGAAGAACAAAGAACACCUUUGGUGUUUUAAACAUUCGGCAGUUAGGAAGCUAAAAUUUGAUCAAUAAUUAAAGAAGUCGAAUUUGGAUCGGGGAAAAACAAAAGUAGUCGAAUAGUCGAACGUCUCCGUCUAUAUCCGAGACUUAAGAUCAAGCUUCAAGCUCGGGGAUCGUCAGCAAGUUCAUCACUCUAUCUGCUGUCUCGUAAUGGAUCCCGAUUGAGCUGUAGCUGAUGACGUUGAAAGUAUAGCGCCUGCUCCUGCGCAAGGGGCAGUGCCAGUUGAUUCUCGGCCUACCUCAAGUAGCCAAGAGGGGAAGGCAAAGCAAGCCUUCUACCAAAUGAUGAACCUUGGUAUUUCUGCAAUUUAGCCAGGUAGUACCUUGGUAUUUCUGCAAUUUAACCAGGUAAGUUCAUAUGAACUAUAUUCUGUAUAAUCUUGAUUAAAGUGAAUUUGAUAUUGAAAGUAAAUUUUGAAAUGAAAGUGAGUUUGAAUGAAGAUUUGGAAACCUUAUUAACUAGUCGAGUUGAGUCGAAUAUAAUUGACAUGUCAUAGGAUUGGAAGAGUACGGGAAUUUAUCGGCUUUGCCAAUCAGUCACUAUAUGUGUCGUAUUAGGCACCACGUGUGUCGUUUCAGGCACUUUAUGUGUCGUAUACUGCUUCUGAUAUAUUGAUCAGGUACAAAGUACCGUUUUAGGCACAAUGUGCUGUACUGGUGUGUUUGGUUGGAAUCCGUGUAUUCGCCAAGGUCCGGGUUUAUGAAUAGGGUGAAUAAGCAAAAUGUGAGAAUUGAAUAAAUUUGAUUGAUCGUACGACUGAAAGUAUAAGGAAGAAAUUGUUAGUCAAAUUGUGAGAUUUGAAAGCAUGAACCUAAGGUUCAUGAAUUGAUCA
Long non-coding RNA from Gossypium raimondii (Peruvian cotton), 912 nucleotides. RefSeq lists it as uncharacterized. NCBI's taxonomy places the organism in Eukaryota, Viridiplantae, Streptophyta, Magnoliopsida, Malvales, Malvaceae. The record is from RefSeq and is a predicted model, not a curated record. The transcript is spliced from 4 exons.